AAGAGUUCAGGGAUAGAAAGUUCAAACACAGUUUUUAUACUGGUUCGACCAAAUUGCCUACAUCUAGUGCCCUUCCUGUACCUGGAAGCAAAUGCACUAUAAUGGUCAAUGUUUUAAUAACAAGGUUUCUAUAGAGACCUCCAUGUCAAAAUAUCAAACACUUCUCUAACCCUCUAACCAAAAUAUAGGCAUACAACACCCAAAGAACAACAACAAGAUAUCCCCU
Molecule: long non-coding RNA, 226 nt
Filed under: Vigna radiata
Lineage: Eukaryota; Viridiplantae; Streptophyta; Magnoliopsida; Fabales; Fabaceae
Description: long non-coding RNA (VRAD_LNC013481)
Source: RNAcentral